Long non-coding RNA from Hyla sarda, 1154 nucleotides. RefSeq lists it as uncharacterized. The record is from RefSeq and is a predicted model, not a curated record. The transcript is spliced from 3 exons. Lineage: Eukaryota; Metazoa; Chordata; Amphibia; Anura; Hylidae.
UUUGCGGUCAGAUUGUUGUGUGACGUUUUAUGUGGAAAGUUGCGACUGUAAACUGAACCGGUCACUCAGUGGUUGACAGCUUCACAAUGUUAGAAUGAAGUGCUUCCCGCCAUUGCGCUGUCCUAUAGAGUCCAGGACAGUGUUGCUCACAUGUCCUGAUGUCGUCCCACGGUGCUCUCGCUACUUACCUGCUGCGGCUUCCGAACCGAACGCCUGGUCGCUUUCUGGAGUGGCAAGACGUCAGCGCCGGUGAGCCAGGGGAGGGAGAGGUCUGCUUGCUGGCGUAGUGAUGUAAUGUUUCAUGCACUAUGCACACCAGGAAGGUCGGCGUGUCUUGUAGUCCGUUCGUGCGCUACGCGCAUCGGGAGGCUGUGAAGUGCUGCGGCUGUUUGUAGAUUGCUGUAUAAAGUGGGUAUUGUGGUUAGACGCGUUUCGAGAUCGGCUGGAUCAGAAAUUUUAACAAGAAGUAUCCUGCAAGUAUGGGGGGAGGGUGGGGAGGUACUAUCUGGGGAUACACCAUCUUCUGCAACCGAGAACAAUACCACUACUGCUACUUGUGGCUCUCAGGCUUUUUUAGGGAUACACCGGUCUCCAGGCAGAGACCAACCCUCAAAGGAGGCCAAUGCCACCAUCGAUCCCGUCAAGACCCGUGCACAGAAGCUCAAGAAAUUGACGCAGCCCAAGCUCCGCUUCAAGAAGAAGUAACCAAAGAAUAGACGUGACAAGUGUGGAACGGUGGCUAAAGUGGACGACCCCUGAAUAUGAAUCCAAGAUUUCUAUGAAAACAUUUUUAUUAUUGUUCAAAAGCCGUGUAGUAUAACUUUUCCUUUUUUCUUGUCCUUUUCUUUUGUCCGUGGUCAUGUGUUGAGCCAAUGAAGUGGAGACACCUGUAUUUGAUAAUAUUAUAGAAGCCUCAAGGGGCCUUUUUUAAAAUAAAAACUUAUUAUAUUUAUCAUGAUUCGGGAUCCUUGCAGUGUAUUUGACUCAUGUAUGUGGGACAAUAAUAUUUGUACAACAUAUGGCCCAUAUACCUGUGGACCCCCAUUUUUGGGGGGAGAGAGACACAUAGAUGUCGGACCCCAAAUCCAGUCGCCGCCUGUGCCCCCCCCUUUGGUGGUACCCAGUUCGGUUGGGCUACCCUGUGUGGGCCCACU